Non-coding RNA from Pelodiscus sinensis (Chinese soft-shelled turtle), 2997 nucleotides. Lineage: Eukaryota; Metazoa; Chordata; Testudines; Trionychidae. The record is from RefSeq and is a predicted model, not a curated record.
CUGAAAAGCUGAAAAGGGUUCCUUGGCCAAAUAUAAUUGGGAAACACUGGAUUAAGUGAUUGGUAUACAGACAGUAACACACCCAAGCCCAGCUUUAAGUGUCACUAGAUUCCAUCCUGACACAGGUAAUGACAAGAGGCCAAACACCUGGCAGUACUAGAAAACAGGUAAAGGUGCAGCUAGCCUGAUACCUAUUCAAAUGUAAAAUUAUUAAUUUUCCUAAUACUGUACUUACACUAAAACAAGUAGUCUGCUGUUACUGGAUGAAUAUCUUAUUUAUUUCUGGAAACAAACUACAUUUUACAUAUCUCUUCCACUAGCUUGUUUUACAUUAUGACAGGAACACUACUGACUUUGCAAAAGUGAUUUAUUAAGCCUCAAGAGAUCUAUCAAGAGACUUGAAUAUUGAUGUGUUCACAUUAACAUCCUGUGUAACAGCUGAAUACUAGAUCUGUCAUGACACAAUGAGAAUCGUAUGUUGCAGAGCAACAAGUGACAGAAGGCUUAAUUAAAGCAGAAUUGACAAAGUAUCAGAGGCAUUUAAGACAAAAUAGCUUUGUUUUAUAGAAAGAAAAGCGCAAAGAAAGGACUGCUUGGUAGAGAAAACAUGCAUGGAGAAAGGGGAAUAUUAAGACUCUCGACGUUCAGGAGGAACUGGCAAGAACUGGAUCAUGUGCUCAGAAGCAACGCGAGCAGCGCAAGACGUCCAACGUACAUGCGCUAUCCGGAAGACUGCUGCUGAAAAAAAUCUCAGAUCUGCAGUGCCAGGACAAGUCCAAGACCUACAUUGGAGCAUCCACGGGGACACACAUCUCAAAGAACCGUCAUUACUACACAGGGUGAGUUUAUCUGGGAGAGAUAUUGAAUAAAUGAACUUCUAACCUACAGAGAUAGUAUUGAAAGAUGUACUGGUGGAAAGCAGGAGAAGAUGCUUUUAAGCUGUGGACAGAAAUCAUGAGUAUCAAUUCAUUUCACAAACGUUGCAAAGAUUUUAACUAGCUGUGCAGGAGAGAAAGAUUCUAUGCCCUAUAGCCAGUUCCUAGAGUUCUCCAGGCCCCCUUCUAUGAAUAUUAAAGGGGAACAUUAUUCCUACUUCUCCAUGGCCAUGGACAUCCUUGGUCUACAGCGCACACAGUCUGGUUCAGUUCCACAAACAGGACAACAGUUUAGGAGCCUGGUGUGUAUGCUGCCUUCAUGAUGCAGGGAUCAGUUGCAUGGGGAUUAUCAGUGCAUGACUACAGAUGGAGCCCAAGGAAGGUAAAGGCAGGAACCAGUGGAUCUAAACAUAUGUAAACAUAUUGGUCAUAUUCUGCUUCAUAAGAUGGGGAACCAAUUGACCAAAAGCUGAUGAAGCUAAAAUAAUGGCCAUUGUGGCUCAGCUGCCACUCAAAGAUUCCUUCUUUCUGUUGGUCCUCCAGUGUCAAGCGCAUAUACUUUGGAGCAGCACUAAAGAGAGACUGUACCCCACAAAGACUGUUUACUAUUAAAGUGAAUAUGGUUGCCAUAUUUGUAUUAUAUUAUUGUUAGUUAGUGGCUGCAUUUGUGAAUAAAAAUGAAAUUUUAAAAAAGGAAAACAGUAUUUUUCGCUUACUGCGCCCAACACUUGUGAAUCAGACUAGUUUUCAGAUAAUUUAUAGAACCUUACUUGCCAUAACAACAUGAUUGUUCAGUGAAGCACAAAUAUCUAGCAGAGUUGGCAUUAUCAUGAAAUAAUUGGCCUUAGCACUGGCCCUUCUUGAAGAAGCUGCACUAAAAAUCAAGAUUGCUUUAUGUCAGCAUGGUCACUUAUAGCACAGUAAUGAUAGAUGACUCACAGUAGCAUCAUCAAUGUGUGAUUACAAAUUGCAGUAUGUACUUAAGCAAGCAGAUAGACACUAAAAAACGUUUUUCCUCAUUCCCAAAACAAUGCAUAAAGUUAUGUCUCAGCAUUUAGUGACCUCAGAACAAUUCUACCUUGGUUAAUAAGCAUCCCAGAAAGUUAGGGCAUAACUAACUGUUCAUACACAUAAGCCACAAGGCAGAAGAAAAUACUGCUUGCUCUGUACUUCCACGUGAACACGCAAGAGAAAGUCCUGAGAGAAAAUGGGCUACAUUUUUAGAAUCCUUGUUCCACUAAGUCUCAUGCAUUCUCAUGCCCUAAAAUUUAGGAAAGGGUCAUUCAGCCCUCUGCAGAAGGAAUGUGUUUAAUUUAAAAUGAAGCCAGUUUGAGUUUUUCUUUUAGAAUUAACAGAACACCUACAAGCUGAAUUCACUGCUAGUAUAUAGUGGUAUGAAUCCAAUGGUGGUAUGCUUCUUUGCACUAGUGUUGACAUAGGUCUUGUUGUGAUAUUGUUAUGAAGCUUUGAGUGUUUUCUGACAUGGAAACUGACAUGACUAAGAAUUGUAGUAAAAUUUUUCCAUCUGUAAUUCUUGGAUCAAAAGGUUACAAUAUGAUACUCUAGCAUGCUGUUAAAGGAUAUAUUAACAUAAUAUCCUUUCCACUUUAUUGGUUUUUCAGAACUCCAUUUAGUCAAUGGGCCAAAUGUAUCAGAAUCGGAAAAUGUAUAUAUGAAUAACAGUACUAUAAAUGUUUACCUUUCCUUAGAUUUCUAUUUCAUCAAUGUUAGUGCUUUAUUUUUAAUCAAGGAUUUAAAAUUAUGGGAAACAAAGGGUAGAAAUAAAUUAUCAUUUUUUUCAACGGAAAUAGGUAAAUAGGAAGGUCCCCAAAAGGUUCCAUGCUUGGACCUAUGCUGUUCAACGUAUUACUACAUUAUUUGAAAAGGGGUUUAAACAAUUAGGUGACAGAGUUUGCAGUUGAUAAUAAAUUACUCAAGAUGGUUAAGUUCAAAACUGAUUAAAGAAUUACCAAAGUGUUUCACAGACCAGCAGGACACCCAGCCCUCAGUAUAAUAGACAGCCAGUUUGAUGGUCUGGUCGAGGGACUGCAGAUCAUUCCUCUGAAAUAUCAUCCAGAAUCGCAGAAGCUAUUCCACCCGCAAUUACGACCAUAUCAGCGCA